UGAGUAUUCCAAGGCGCUUGAGAGAACUCAGGAGAAGGAACUCGGCAAAUUAGUACCGUAACUUCGGGAUAAGGUACGCCCCUAGUAGGUGAAAGUGUACAACUGGAGCCGAAUGGGGUCGCAGUGAAAAGGUGGCUGCGACUGUUUAACAAAAACACAGCACUCUGCAAACACGUCAAGUGGACGUAUAGGGUGUGACGCCUGCCCGGUGCCGGAAGGUUAAGUGAUGGGGUGCAAGCUCUUGAUCGAAGCCCCGGUAAACGGCGGCCGUAACAAUAACGGUCCUAAGGUAGCGAAAUUCCUUGUCGGGUAAGUUCCGACCUGCACGAAUGGCGUAACGAUGGCCACACUGUCUCCUCCUGAGACUCAGCGAAGUUGAAGUGUUUGUGAUGAUGCAAUCUCCCCGCUGCAAGACGGAAAGACCCCGUGCACCUUUACUGCAACUUUGCAUUGGACUUUGAUGAGAUUUGUGUAGGAUAGCUGGGAGACUUUGAAGUGGGGGCGCUAGCUCUCAUGGAGUCGACGUUGAAAUACCAGCCUGAUGUUAUUGAGGUUCUAACCUGGAUCCGUAAUCCGGAUCGGGGACCGUGCAUGGUGGGCAGUUUGACUGGGGCGGUCUCCUCCCAAAGAGUAACGGAGGAGUACGACGGUACGCUUAGCGCGGUCGGCUAUCGCGCUGUAUGUGCAAUGGCAAAAGCGUGCUUAACUGCGGGACGGACAUGUCGAGCAGGUGCGAAAGCAGGUCAUAGUGAUCCGGUGGUUCUGUAUGGAAGGGCCAUCGCUCAACGGAUAAAAGGUACGCCGGGGAUAACAGGCUGAUUCCUCCCAAGAGUUCAUAUCGACGGGGGAGUUUGGCACCUCGAUGUCGGCUCAUCACAUCCUGGGGCUGUAUCCGGUCCCAAGGGUAUGGCUGUUCGCCAUCUAAAGUGGUACGUGAGCUGGGUUCAAAACGUCGUGAGACAGUUUGGUCCCUAUCUGCAGUGGGCGUUGGAAGUUUGAGGGGGGCUGCUCCUAGUACGAGAGGACCGGAGUGGACGCAUCUCUGGUGUACCGGUUGUCACGCCAGUGGCAUCGCCGGGUAGCUAAAUGCGGAAAAGAUAAGCGCUGAAAGCAUCUAAGCGCGAAACUUGCCUCGAGAUGAGACUUCCCGGGAACUUGAUUCCCCUAAAGGGUCGCGGAAGACCACCGCGUUGAUAGGUCGGGUGUGUAAGAGCAGCAAUGCUUUGAGCUAACCGAUACUAAUUGCCCGUGAGGCUUGAUCCA
Molecule: ribosomal RNA, 1263 nt
Filed under: metagenome
Description: bacterial LSU rRNA
Rfam family: Bacterial large subunit ribosomal RNA
Source: RNAcentral